UACGUAGGGUGCGAGCGUUAAUCGGAAUUACUGGGCGUAAAGCGUGCGCAGGCGGUUUUGUAAGUCUGUCGUGAAAGCCCCGGGCUUAACCUGGGAAUUGCGAUGGAGACUGCAAGGCUUGAAUCUGGCAGAGGGGGGUAGAAUUCCACGUGUAGCAGUGAAAUGCGUAGAGAUGUGGAGGAACACCGAUGGCGAAGGCAGCCCCCUGGGUCAAGAUUGACGCUCAUGCACGAAAGCGUGGGGAGCAAACAGG
Molecule: ribosomal RNA, 253 nt
Filed under: uncultured bacterium
Lineage: Bacteria
Description: partial 16S ribosomal RNA
Rfam family: Bacterial small subunit ribosomal RNA
Source: RNAcentral